AAAAUUAGUGGCAGACGGGUGAGUAAUGCAUAGGAAUCUACCUAGUAGUAUGGGAUAGCCACUAGAAAUGGUGGGUAAUACUGUAUAAUCCCUGCGGGGGAAAGAUUUAUCGCUAUUAGAUGAGCCUAUGUUAGAUUAGCUAGUUGGUAGGGUAAAGGCCUACCAAGGCAGUGAUCUAUAGCUGGUCUGAGAGGAUGAUCAGCCACACUGGAACUGAGAUACGGUCCAGACUCCUACGGGAGGCAGCAGUGGGGAAUAUUGGACAAUGGGCGCAAGCCUGAUCCAGCUAUGCCGCGUGAGUGAGGAAGGCCUUAGGGUUGUAAAACUCUUUCAGUGGGGAAGAUAAUGACGGUACCCACAGAAGAAGUCCCGGCAAACUCCGUGCCAGCAGCCGCGGUAAUACGGAGGGGGCAAGCGUUGUUCGGAAUUAUUGGGCGUAAAGGGCAUGUAGGCGGUUCGGUAAGUUAAAGGUGAAAUGCCAGGGCUUAACCCUGGAGCUGCUUUUAAUACUGCCAGACUCGAGUCCGGGAGAGGAUAGCGGAAUUCCUAGUGUAGAGGUGAAAUUCGUAGAUAUUAGGAGGAACACCAGUGGCGAAGGCGGCUAUCUGGUCCGGUACUGACGCUGAGGUGCGAAAGCGUGGG
This 642-nucleotide ribosomal RNA is filed under the name Anaplasma platys. RNAcentral's name for it is "bacterial SSU rRNA". It matches the Rfam family "Bacterial small subunit ribosomal RNA", at positions 88 to 765 of the family's 1533-position model. Lineage: Bacteria; Pseudomonadati; Pseudomonadota; Alphaproteobacteria; Rickettsiales; Anaplasmataceae. The record is from RNAcentral.